Molecule: non-coding RNA, 5442 nt
Organism: Rattus norvegicus (Norway rat)
Lineage: Eukaryota; Metazoa; Chordata; Mammalia; Rodentia; Muridae
Source: RefSeq, a predicted model, not a curated record
CUGCGAGGUGUCUAAAGAGAGUUGGGCUAGCUCCUUGUGCCAAGGAGAGGGCGUGUUUCCCAGGUUGAUUCAGUGUUUCUGGUAGUAGUGCUAGGGCUUGUGGCCUUGCAUGGACCGAGAGGUUUCAUCGCCGAAGGAAGUGUCCAUGGGAACCGUCAGCCAUUCCGGCAUUCUGCUUUCCCAUGCGGAGCAUGCGUGUGUCGCCUGUGGUCUGAAGCUGGGGUUCCCUAUGCAGAUACUUGGUCUCUCUGAGGCAAAGUCCCAUGGACUAACAUGUAUGUAGAACGUGACAGUAACUUUGGAGGGAAAUGAGCCCGAAGUGCUUUGGGCCGUUCCUGCCUGUCCCAGAAGGCUUUGCGUCUUGUCUGACGUCACCUUCCCCAGGCUUGCCCUCUAGUCAGAUGCUUCUUGGCUCAGUGAGCUGUUUUGAGGACAGAGAGGCUGGGCUAUGGUGACACUCUACGGGAAAGGACAGGAGGCUUACAGAAGGUUCAUUCUGGGCCUCGUGUCUGUGUCACAGUGUUAAAAAAACACACACACACAAAUAAGUGUUGUAAGCUGUCCCUGUGGUCACUGGGCAGUGUUUGUCAAUGGCAGCCGUCAUCUAAGAGUGAACCACAUCCACUGCGGUUUUGACAAGAUCAUGGAGCAGGUGAUGUAGAAGCACGUGAUCCAAAACAGUGACAUGCCAGCCACAGCUUCCUGUCUCUCUGGGGCCCUAAAAAUGAUAGUCUCUGUCUGGCUUAGGCUACAGCCCUGAGAGGUUUAACACAGGAGCAAUGCAAACCCAGGCUCUGUUGUGAAUUCUGAAGGUUCAGUGGAAAAGACUUAGACUUCCAUUGGUUUCAACCUUCCUAACGCUGUAACCCUUUAGUACAAUUCCUCAUGUUGUGGGGACCCUCAACCAUAGCGGGACUAUCUCGGACCAUCAGCAAUAUAAAUAAUGACACAGAGGGUUUUAAAAAUAUUUUAUUUUGUUUUUAUUCUUUUAGAUGAUAUAUUUUUAUUGUAUAGUUUAAACUUACACUUCAAAUGUUAUUUCCUUUUCCCCGUCUAUAAACCCCCUAUCCCAUCUUCCUCCCUCUUCUUCUAUGGGGGUGUUCCCCCUCACCCCUUCCCGCCAAAGCUUAGGCCUUUCAGCUAGGGCAGCCUCCCAACAGCUCUAACCCGACUAAACUAAUCCUGGCACUACAUCACACCGCAUAGACAGCUCUGCUCUGCUCUGCUGGCUGAAUCUCUGUCUCUGUCUCUGUCUCUGUCUCUGUCUCUCUCUGUCUCUCUCUGUCUCUGUCUCCCCCUCCCCUCCCUCUCUCUCUCUACUCCAUUUCCUGCUCAGCUAUUGGCUGCCAGAUCGUUACUUCAGCCAAUCAGAAGCAACUCUAGGUUGCCUUAGGCAGGCGAAGACGAACCAACAUUUACAGAACCCGGUAACCACCAUAGAAAUGACAAUGCCAGAAUCUUGCCAGCAUUUAGUUCUCUGCCUGGUACAGAAUUAACCACUGAAUAUACUGAGACACACCCUGUCUCACACAAUGUACCCCAUCACCUAACCAUGAAAUUUCCCUUGGCUACUUAAUAACUGUAACUUUAUGAAUUGUAAUGUAAGCAUCUGCUGUGGGACACACACACACACACACCACACAAAUCGCACGUGAAGGAUGGGGACCCACAGAUUGAGAACCACUGCUUUAGACCCUGUCAUGGCCCCAGGGACUCUGCCCACCCUUCCCAGAACUCUAUGGGACUACAGUUCUGUGUUUUAAGAUUCAUCCAAGUGUUCCUGCAAACGCAGUGGACCCAUUUGCUUAGGCAAGCUAUUAGCAUAAAUUUACAUAUCAGUUUCAUAAUUGAGCUGUGAGUAGGAAGUAAAGGCUAAUCACACACAAAUGGCGUCAGUGGCCACAAUGGAGUCUGCGUACGACAGCUCAGUCCCCUGCUUUUGAAGUCCCAAGUGAGCUUUUAUGAGUCGUAUGUCUACGUUCAUCAUGCUUUUAGCUUAUGCUCAGUGCUGGGGUGGGGAUGGAAUUUGAAGGCAUCCUUAGACCACAGAAAGACUAAAACCAGAUGGAGAAAGGAAGUCAGAUGGACAUCUGUAGACCUGAGACCGGGGCCAAACAAGCGUUCUGCAAGGCGUUGGUAAUAGGAUCAUUUUGAGGGACCUUGGAUACAGCGGUGUGCAGAGACCAAACCGUGUGCUUGAGUGCCUUGUAUAAGACAGUGCACCGUGGUGCUUGCGGACAGCCUGUGUGCAGCCUCCUGGGUACUUACGCAUGCUUCUUGGUUUAUCUUGGGGUGGAUGGAGCGUGGGCGUGGGGCGGAAGUGGGCAGGCGAAUAAACAGCAAGCAUGUGGUCAGAGGAGAACUUGCCUUCCUCCUUGUGGGUCCUGGGGGAUGGAACUCAAGUCAUCAGGAUGGGCAGCAAGGGUCCUCACCUCAUCAGCCAUCUUGCCAGUCCUCACCUGAGCAUGUCAAAGCCACUUUAGAUGACUGGAAAAGCCUCUCACACAGGCUACACACUGUUGAAAUCAUCAUUUUACUCUACUGUCUAUGGAGUGGUCACCACGUCUCCCAGUGUUUGUGAUCUGUAGUUUCUUCCUUCCUUCCUUCCUCCCUCUCUUUCUUUCUUUCUUUCUUUCUUUCUUUCUUUUUCUUUCCUUCUACCUUUCUUUCUUCCUUCCUCCCUCUCUCUCUCUCUUUCUUUUUUAAAUCAGUGAACGUAGAAGGCUGACUGUAUUAAGAUUCUCAGUCUUAAAGGUAUGUAAUAGGUUUAUCAUUAUACUUCAUAAUAAAAUAAUAUUCCUGGUCUCUUGCUACUGCUCUGUUUGAUGGCGUGAGCCUGGGAGUGUGGAACCUAAAACAGAUGUAAUAUCCAUUUUCACUCAGCAUCAGAUAAAUUAUAUUCAGGGGGGUUGAGCAAGAUCAUGGGGGCAAAGUCUACUUGAUUCCAAGUUCUAUACUGUCACAAAGGCAAGGCCACAUGAGUUCAGGCUGUAUACAGUCAUGGACACAACUUGUGCUUGGAAACAGCAUGCUGGAUAAUAUUGGGUAGUAUGGUGGGUGGUCUGAGGCAAACCUACUCUGACUUAUCACACCUGGGAGGGGCACAAAAGCGCAUUCCCAAAACAACCAAUGUGUGGUGGUUUGAAUAUGCUUGGCCCACAGGGAGUGGUACUGUUAGGAGGUGUGGCCUUGUUGGAGGAGGUGUGGCCUUGUUGGAGGAGGUGUGGCCUUGUUGGAGGAGGUGUGGCCUUGUUGGGGGAGGUGUGGCCUUGUUGGAGGAGGUGUGGCCUUGUUGGAGGAGGUGUGGCCUUGUUGGAGGAGGUGUGGCCUUGUUGGAGGAGAUGCGGCCUUGUUGGAGGAAGUGUGACACUGUGGGCAUGGACUUUGAAGCUCUGCCCAGUCUUCUCCUGUUUGCCUUCAGAACAAAAUAUAGACCUCUCUAUUCCUCCAUUACCACUUCUGCCUGGAUGCUGCCGUGCUUCCUGCCAUGAUGACACUGGACUGAGCCUCUGAACCUGUAAGCCAGCCCCAAUUAAGUGUUGUCCUUUAUAAGAGUUGCCUUGUUCAUGGUGUCUGUUAACAGCAAUGGAAACCCUAACUUAAGACAUCAUGUUAUGAAGGAACAGGGAUUAUAAGACUAUUGUCUUGUUUACUUGGAGUUUUCUUACAAUGUCUCAGAAACCUACCCAUGCAGCCUUGUUCAUGGACCAUGUUCCGACAGACUCUGAAUUAUAUGAUUAGAUGGUUUUCAAUCUAUUAUUACUCCAUUUUUUUAAAAUGAAGAUAAGAUACUAGAGUUGAGCCAGAGUGGCUAUGGUGGGAAUAGUCAUAGGUCAGAAGGCAGGAUUGCAGACCCAGGCUAUGAAACCGAUCUCCUGAAAAUUAGACUGGCCUUGGAAGAGCAACUGUUUCUUCAUAACAUAGAGUCAUACGAGAAUAAAGAAUUCUGCCAAGUUAACUUCAGAACCCUGGAAAGCAGAGAGCCGCAUCAGAACCACAUUUCCUGUGAGGCUCAGAGAGGACCGAGCCGUGAGCUCAGGUGACUCUGUGUAAAGUGUAGAAGUUGGACAUUGCUUCCUCCUGGCUCACAAAGACCACUUGUCCAUUAAGAGGCAGGGGCAUGACAGGCUGAGUGCACUUGUUGGCUGCAGGCCCUGGCACUGAACCAGCACCACCUUGCUUAGGCCUCCAAUGGCCAACAUCAUGACCCUGGAACCUUCCAAAGAGACAGGAUUCUUGAGCAUUCCACAUCAAAGCUUCCUAAAGGACCCACGAGGUCACAAGCAACUUGACAACAGUAGAAGGUUUCUGGAUGUGCCACAACUAUCAAGUCUCCUGGGGCUUGGAUCCUGCAACCCUGACCCUGGCUGGGAACGGCAAAGCUCGCACGGCUCUGUGCAAACCGUCAAGUACCUGGGCACUCCAGCUAAUGCUCCCUGAAGCAGCCUGGCGUGGAUUCGAGACUAUUCUGUUUUGGAAUGCCCUGGUUUUGCUGUACAUUUGAAAUGCUCUGCUCCUACAGAGUCAUCAUGGAUUAAUUACAGAAGACAAAGACUUAAUAAUAAAUUUUCUCCUGUCAGCCCUCUGCACGAAAGUAUAAAAAAAAAACACAUCUUUUUUGGAUUGGGUUGUGUAAGAAUGUUUGGUUUUUUAAAAACUGCUGUUUGAAUGGCUUAUUUGAGUUUGCUUAAAAAUCAGUAAAUGAAUCUUGUCUGUGGACUAGGACAAAAUUUCCAGCAAUUUCUGAAAUGGCCUAAGCAUACCUCUGCCAUUUUGUAUCACAGAUUUAUGAGGAGCAGCGUUUUCAGCAUUGAUGGUUAUACAAUUAAAAUAAUCAGUUCUGAAAAAUGUCGAAGAUACCUGCUGUCUCGAACCAGACGUUCAGCUAAGACGUAAUUCUCUAUAUAGAAAUACGGAAGCAGAGCUGAGGUUGUGACUUGGUCCCUGGGGUGCUUACCCAGCAUGCAAAGCUUUGAUUUUCAUUCCCGACACCACAUAAAAUGGGAGUGGUGUCCCAGGCCUGAGAUAGACGCAGGAUGGUCAGGAGGCCAUCCUCAGCUACAUGGUGAACAGGAGGCUAGCCAUGGCUACAGAAGACCCUGUCUCAAAAUGACUAGGAGUUAAGAAGCAGAACCAUCUUGUCAGCAUGCAGAGUUACAUGCAGGCACUAAAAUCAUAUGUGUGUCCAAGAAUUGUCUCCAAAUGAAAUUCUUUACAAUUCAACACAAGUGUGUGUGUGUGUGUGUGUGUGUGUGUGUGUGUGUGUGUGUGUGUGAUAUAAUUCUGGGUUUCCAGUGGAAGUUUCUUGAACAAUAAGGAACUGUGUGUGAGUGGGUAAAGUUUAAGAAGCUUGUACUUAGACGGACAGGCAAAGAAUUGUAGACUUGAAAGAGGCUAAAACCAAACCAGAUAUCCGGGGUGGAUAUCUCAGUGGGAAAGAAG